RNAcentral lists this ribosomal RNA (502 nucleotides) under uncultured bacterium. RNAcentral describes it as "partial 16S ribosomal RNA". It matches the Rfam family "Bacterial small subunit ribosomal RNA", at positions 30 to 523 of the family's 1533-position model. The record is from RNAcentral.
AUUGAACGCUGGCGGCAUGCCUUACACAUGCAAGUCGAACGGCAGCACGGGAGCUUGCUCCUGGUGGCGAGUGGCGAACGGGUGAGUAAUACAUCGGAACGUACCCAGGAGUGGGGGAUAACGUAGCGAAAGUUACGCUAAUACCGCAUAUUCUGUGAGCAGGAAAGCGGGGGAUCGCAAGACCUCGCGCUCUUGGAGCGGCCGAUGUCGGAUUAGCUAGUUGGUGAGGUAAAAGCUCACAAAGGCGACGAUCCGUAGCAGGUCUGAGAGGAUGAUCUGCCACACUGGGACUGAGACACGGCCCAGACUCCUACGGGAGGCAGCAGUGGGGAAUUUUGGACAAUGGGGGCAACCCUGAUCCAGCCAUGCCGCGUGAGUGAAGAAGGCCUUCGGGUUGUAAAGCUCUUUCGGCGGGGAAGAAAUGGCAACGGCUAAUAUCCGUUGUUGAUGACGGUACCCGCAUAAGAAGCACCAGCUAACUACGUGCCAGCCGCCGCAGUAA